CCUUAUCAUCACCCCCCGCUCGCGUUCUGCAUCGCCAACCUGCACGUCAUCACCAACGAUAUCAUCAUCCCCACUCUGUUGACAUAAUUAAAAAUAUAACGCAUUAGUCCAUAUGAGAGAAUUAAAAAGACAAUAUGAAAAUUAAAUAACAUGCAGAUUAAUUAACUUAAAGUAAAUACAAUAUCUGAGUAGGCGGAGGAUGACUCCUUAUUGGGCCAAAGCCUACGGGAGUAAAGUAACCACCAACUGGAGCACCUCGGCGGCUAUCACGACGAACUGCUCCUGCAGGAUACCCGUAUUCUCGACGGUGGUCCCUGCUGUAAUAUCCUGAGCUAGCUGGUGAAGGCGAGCUCUGUGACGCCCCCAAAAUUAGGUAUUCAUCACCCAUUUUGAGUCGCCAAAUACAUGGUACACAAUACAAAUACAAAUUUAACUAUACAGCUGUCGUGUAAAAUACGAUAAAACAUAAACUGAGAGGUUAAACAAGAAUACUGCCUUCUAGACAAUAUCCAUUCUCAAUGGAGUACUCAUAGACAGUAUACAAACUCAAAUUCAGUCCUCGUUACAUUUAUUUUCACAUUAUUUAACAGAAUAGUGAGGACUACUAAUGCUAUCAUCUGGACCUUCACUCCGUUUUUCGACUCGUCCCAACUAUAUUCUCAUUUCCUGAAGAGAACAGUGAAAGAAAGGGUGAGCUCAACUAGCCCAGUAAGAAAUAUUAUGACUAAGAUAAUACAGAAUAAAUUAUCAUUAGUCUUAACAAUGUUAAACUGAUAAUAUAAAAUAGACAUCAAGUUUAACUGCAGCGGAAUAUGCAAUCUAUUAAAUGAGUCAAGUAGAGAAUAAAGUCUACUCUCUUUUGGGUUUUAAAAGGUUUUCAUCAAUUUUUAUCGCUGAGACUCAGCUUAAUAAAUAAACCACAUCUUCUAAUCAUCCCUGUACUACGGGCCAAAGACAUUCAUUAAAUCAUCAAUGGUCAUGACUAUACCGAAUAAUCUCUAGUCAUAAUCAUACCCAGUCCAUCUCUGUACGUAAGCCAAAUAUAUACAACAAUGAAACCAAUAAUCAAUAAUCCAUCUUUGCACGUAAGCCAAAGAUAUACAAUUUAAUAAUCAACAGUCCAUUUCGCACGGAAGCCAAAGAUAACUUUUAUCACCAUAUAAGCAUGACGAUGAUGACAAUUGUAAGACCCCGAUUUUUUUUUUUAUAAAUAAAAUGGAAUUUCCUUUAUUUAUUAUUUUGAAAUAGUAAGGGUUGAUUUGAUUAAUGUGGUUAGCUAUGGGUAAAAUGCGCAAAUUUUAUAAAAUAAGCAAGUGGUUAUAAAAUAUUCAUUAUUGUCGGGGAAUAUUCGUUUGGUCGGGGAAUAUUCGUACGACGGCGCAGCCAUGUGUGGGCCCCAUAACGGAAAGCGAUUGGAGGAAGAAAACGACAAAUAUAAGUUGUUUAAAAAUAACGGCGUAGUUGUUACCGUUUACACUGUUGGAAUACCCGGUGGUUAAAAUACAGUAAUACGCGUUGUUGCACAGUAGCACACGGUAUUGCACCAAUUAUUGAUUCUUACGUAAGAAGGCACUACUCAAUAAUGGUUACAGUAAUUACUGUUCAGUAUUUUAUUUUAUUGAUUCAAUAAUUGCUGCGUUGAUAUUUUAUAUUGCUGUUGUUUCAAUAAUUGUCAUUACACAGUAUUUUUCAUUAUCGAAGCAAUAAUUCAUAUUAUCUGAAUAAUAUUAUUAGAUAACAUUAUUGGCAAUGUCUAGAAAGUUCUGUCUAAGGAGAGGUUUGGUCACCUAAUUGCGCGCCAGUAAGGAGAAAUUCUUAUUGGAAAGCCCCCUCUUUCCUGGGAACUGCCUGGUUGUCAAUAUUGUGAUUCUGUAAUAUUAUUUGUGAAUAAUUAAUUAUUGAUUCAUAUGAUGAGGAAAAUAUUGAUUUUAUGUGGAUAUAGAUGGAGAAAAUUUUUAAUGUGACAAUUGUUGAAAAUUGAAAUUUUAUCUUUUUCUGAUAAAAUAAUUCAUAUAUAUAUAUAUAUUAUUAUAUUUUAAUAAUAUAAUAAUGGUGAUAUUUUUACAACGAAUGUGGGAUAUAUGAGUAUACGAGGAGGAAGAGUAUUUUUGUUGCAAUAAAUGUUUAAAACAUGUUAAACAUGUCGGUGGACCCCAUUUAUUGACUGAAAUUUGAUUAUAGCCUGUAAAAUCACCCGUUUGUGGAUUUCGGUCAAUUUCUGUUUGGAAUUUGGAAAAACUUUCUUCUGCAAAGUUGUAGAGAAUUGAAUUUCCUAUAAAAACUCGCGAGAUUCGAAUUUUCUGACAAAAGGGCUAUUUAUUGUGAAUUAUUGAAGUUCCGAAGCUCCGAAAUAAUUGAUUUUUGGAAGUUUAAAUUAUUUUAAAUAAUAAAAACGUUUUUAACAAGGUAGGUGUGCCCACUAGCAUGGAAAAAGAGCUGAGAUCAGAUUGUCCAAGGUGUGCGUGAAGAUUAUAUAUAUAUAUAUAUAUAUUAAUAUUUUAUUAAAUUUUCUGCUUUGGUGUUCUAAGCAUUUUCCUAUAAAUAGGGUGCUUAGGUUAGAAUUGAAAAUCACACCAGAAACUGAAGUUUUCUCUCUCUAUAUUAUCGAGCGUAUUCUUGUGAGUAUUUUGAGUAUACUUUGAGUAUUGCUAUACGGUGAAAGUUCAAGAUAUAGCCUAUAUCCAGUAUUCCAGUUAGAAGUACUGAUCUUUCGAGGUAAGGGAUAUUUUUUUUUUUCGUAAUGAUAUUAUUUCUUCAAUAUCAUUAUGCUGAAAUAUUGAUCUGAAGUUUUUAUCAAAUUUGGAACUUUUGGUGUCGGAGUUACUAUUCACGUAUACGGCACUAUUCACGUAUACGGUACUAUUCACGAAUACGGCACUAUUCAUCGAAAAAUGAAAAUUUUCCUUUUCGUCCAAAAUAUCUAUUGUGGAUACUAGCUUUGAUUGUAUCCAUGUUUUGAUCAUUCUUGAAUUUUACACCACUAUGAUUAUUUUUGAGGUAUUUUUGGACAUGGAUAAAACAAAGUACGAAUCCUUAAUCCUUAAUCCUUGUCAUUUUGUUUCACUGGAUUCGUUUCUUUAAAAAUAUUUUUCAUCAUCCUCAGUCUUAAAUGAUGAUAUUAUUGAAUAUCUUUGGCCUGUAGUGCAAAGAUGAAUGAUUUCUGAUGAAUAUCUUUGGCCCGUAGUGCAAAGAUGAACAGGUGUUUAGAUGAACAUGACCAACUGAUGAAUAUCUUUGGCCUGUAGUGCAAAGAUGAAUAUUUGAUUCCAGAUAUAUAUUGAUUGAUGUUACAGGGAUAAAAGAUAGACGAUGAACUUUUAAAUUCAUACAUAGAAGAUAGUAGUUUGCAUUCUCUACUUAACUCUUCUAAUGAAUUAUUAUUUCCGCUGCGAAUAUUGAUUUAAAACUUGUUGUCUAUUGUAUUCUAUUAGAUUUUUCCCUGUUGAAGACUAACGAUAAUUUGUUGUAUAUUAUCUUAGUCAUAAUAUUCUUUACUGGGCUAGUUGAGCUCACCCUUUUCCUUUUUGUUCCAUUUUUCUUCUCAGGAGACGAGAAUAUAGCGGGAACUAGUCGGGGUGUGGAGUAAUGGUUCAAGAAAGUUGUUUUAGUAGUCCUCACUAUUUUGUAAAAUAGUGUAUCAAUAAUUGUAAUGAGGACUUAUUUGAGUGUGGAUAUUGUCUAGAUGACAAUAUUUGUAUUUAAACUCACAGUUUUUAUGUUGUAUUAAUAAAGUUGUAGUUGUUUCUGUACCAAUUUAUUGACGACUCAGAAUGGGUGAUGUAUACCUAUUUUGGGGGCGUCACAGUUGGUAUCAGAGCUUAGGGAUAUGAUCUCUGGCGGAGAUCGGGGAAUAGAACUAGGAGGGGAGAGACGAGUAAAUCCUUCGCUAGUGUGUCCUACCUAAGCUUAUUUGUUAGUUGGUCAGUAUAUAGGGAUAUUAUGUGAUAUAUUGAUUUCCUUAAUUAACCCUUGUUUUAUGACAGUAUUUGAGAAUGUCGACUGAGAAUAUUAACAGUGGAGUAAAUGAGACCGUGGAGACGCCGGUACUCACCAACGAGGAGAACGUGCAACAGGCUGGCAAUGUUCCUCCUGUGAACAACGCCACUGAGCAGAUGAUGAACGACGGGAUGUUUAGAAGCUUUUUGCAGUUCAUGCAAAAUCAGACGAGGGAGACUCGUGUACAAAAUACGGGAGGAAAUGAUAGUAACGCGCGGUUUGUCACGGCCAAACAAUUCAAAGAGUUGGGACCACCAGAUUUCCAUGGAAAGCCGGAUCCGAUCAAGGCAGAAACGUGGGUCAAGCAAAUUACCAAGAUAUUUGAUGUCUUGGGAUGCACGGAGGAACAGAAGGUUCCAUUCGCCACCUUUAUGUUUCGUGGUGAAGCAGAUUACUGGUGGGAAUCUGUGAAGCGUACCCAGCCAGAUGCACUCAACAUGUCUUGGGAAAGAUUUCAGAAACUGUUCAAUGACAAGUACUUCCCUGAAAGUAUUCGUCAUAUGAAGGAAGUGGAGUUUAUUAGACUGGAGCAGAGUAACAUGACGGUGUCUCAGUACGAGGCGAAGUUUGCGGAGUUGUCCAGGUUUGCACCUCAUUUGGUGGAAAAUGAGGAACGUAUGACGCGUAUGUUUCUGAGGGGUCUAAAACUCGAAAUUCGUCAAUACCUCAUUUCUCAUAAAUUUUCUCUAUAUUCAGAUGUUGUAAACAUGGCUCAAUUAUUAGAGCGAGAUAAUGAGUCUGUUCAACCGGGCGACCAACAACACGAUAAAAAUUAUAAAUUUUAUAAAUUUUGCAAAGUAUGCAAGUUGUCAGAUUAUAAAUACUUGCAUACUUUGCAAAAUUUAUAAAUACUACCCACAACUAUAAUAUUAUAUCAAUUCCCCACCAUAAUAUUAAAAAAUAUUUCGAGAAAAUUAAAUAUUUAUUCAUAAAAUCUGGGUUCUCACAAGUUUGGUUGGGCAACUCCUAACGACGGAUAACCGGAUCUGUACGAAAUGUCUCCGACACCGCCGCCAUGACCAUUUGGAAAAUCUCAUUGUCCAAGCCAGCGCCUGUAUGAGAUGGUCCAACAAGUGUUCUUGGAUGCUGACGCUGACUAAACCAUGCGAAAAUAACAUUACUAAUAAUAUUUGUAGUUAAUUUAUCUUUAACUUAUAAGAAAUAAUAUUACCUUCAGGUAGUGUAUACGAUAAUAUCCUCGGCAGACCCAACACUUGAUAUGUGACGCCCCCAAAAUAGGUAUACAACACCCAUUUUGAGUCGCCAAUUAUAUGGUACAGAAAGCAAACUACAACUUCAAUAAUACAAUUGUCGUGCAAAAUACGACAACACAUACUGUGAGUUUAAAUACAAAUAUUAUCUUCUAGAUAAUAUCCACACUCAAAUAAGUCCUNNNNNNNNNNNNNNNNNNNNNNNNNNNNNNNNNNNNNNNNNNNNNNNNNNNNNNNNNNNNNNNNNNNNNNNNNNNNNNNNNNNNNNNNNNNNNNNNNNNNNNNNNNNNNNNNNNNNNNNNNNNNNNNNNNNNNNNNNNNNNNNNNNNNNNNNNNNNNNNNNNNNNNNNNNNNNNNNNNNNNNNNNNNNNNNNNNNNNNNNNNNNNNNNNNNNNNNNNNNNNNNNNNNNNNNNNNNNNNNNNNNNNNNNNNNNNNNNNNNNNNNAGUCCAUCAUCAAUAUUUUAUCCCUGUAACAUCAAUCAAUAUGCAUCUUUAAUCAAAUAUUCAUUUUUGCACUACGGGCCAAAGAUAUUCAUUUGUAUCACCAGUCGGUUAUGUUCAUCUCAACACCUGUUCAUCUUUGCACUACGGGCCAAAGAUAUUCAUCAGUUAAUCAUUCAUCUUUGCACUACAGGCCAAAGAUAUUCAGUAACAUCAUCAUUUAAGACUGAGGAUGAUGAAAAAUAUUUUAAAGAAAACGAAUCCAGUGAGACAGAAGGACAAAUAUUAGAAAUUCAUAUUACAGUUUAUCCAAGAUCAAUAAUACUUCAUAAUAACCACUUGUGAAGCAGAAUUCAAAAAUAAAGUUCAAAAUACGGAUACAAUCAAAGAUAGUAACCAUAAUAGACAUCUUGGAUGAAAAGAAAAAAAUUUCAUUUUUCAGUGAAUAGUGUCGUAUUUGUGAAUAGUGUCGUAUACGUGAAUAGUGCCGUAUACGUGAAUAGUAAUCCUGACAUAAAAAGGUAGAAAUUCCACAAUAAAAUCCAUACCAAUAUUUCGGUAUAAUGAUAUUGAAAGAAUAACACCAUUACGAAAAAAAUAACAUCUCUUACCUUAAAAUAAUCGUACUUCUGACUGAAUUUCGGAUAUAGUACUGACAGAAACUUGCACUGAAUAGCAAUUCUCGAAGUAUCAAAAUACUCACAAAAAUACGCCCGAUAAUCUAGAGAGAAAGAAAACUUGUUUCUGGUGUGAUUUUCAAUUCUAACCUAAGCGCUUAUUUAUAGGAAAAUGCUAGAACGCCAUAGGAGACUAAAAUAAUAAAAUAUUAUUUUUUCUUUCUUUUUUUCCUACGCAUGCAAGGACCAGCCAUCUAGCAUGCCAUUCUUGAAAAAAUUCCAGCAGCCCACAUGUUAAAACAAAAGUGGGUCCCACCCAUAAUUUAAUAAAAAUUAUUUUAUUUUCUGAAACUUCAGUAAUUCAUAGAAAAUAGUCCGUUUAUCAGAAAAAUACGAAUUUUAUGUCCAUUCCACACGAAAUCGAAUUCUCUACAACUUUGUAGCUUUGAGUUUUUCCAAAUUCCAAAUGAAAAAUAUUUGAAAUCCACAAACGGAUGAUUUUUAAUAUCUCCAUUCCGACAAAAUACUGAUAAAACACCUUAGCAUUAAUUCCUUCAUUUAUAAUCACAUAAAAUAAAUAAAUCCAUCAUUUAUAUCCAUAUCAAAUAAAUAUUUUCUUAUCAUAUAAAUCAAUAACUAAUUAUUCACAAAUAAUAUUACAGAAUCACAAUUAUGACAACCAGGCCGUUCCCAGGAAAUAGGGGGCUUUCCAAUAAGGAUUUCUCCUUACUGACACGCAAUUAGGUGACCAAACCUCUCCUUAACAGAACUUUCUAGACAUUGCCAAUAAUGCUUAUCUAAUAAUAUUAUUCAAAUAAUAUGAAUUAUUGAUCUGAUAAUGGGAAAUACUGUGCAGUGAUAAUUAUUGAAACAACAAUAAUAUAAACUAUCAACGCAGUAAUUAUUGAAUCAAUAAAAUAAAAUAUUGAACAGUAACUACUGUAACAAUUAUUGAGUAGUGCCUUCUUACGUAAGAAUCAAUAAUUCAACAAUACUGUGCAAUACCGUGUGCAACCACGCGUAUUACUGUAUUUUAACCACCAGGUAUUCCAACAGUGUUAACGGUAACAAUUACGCCGUUAUUUAUAAAAACUCAUACUUUGUCAUUUUCCUUCAUUCAACCAUUUUUCGUUAUGGGGCCCACAAAUGGUUGCGCCGUCGUACGAAUAUUUCCCGACAACAAGAAUAUUCCACGACCAAACGAAUAUUCCCCGACAGAAAUGAAUAUUUUAUAACCACUUGUUUAUUUUGCAAAAUUUGCACAUUUCACCCAUAACCAAAGCAUUAUAUCAAAUUAACACCUUAUUAAUUUAGAAUAAUGAAUAGAGGAAAAAUUCAAUUUUAUUUAUAAUAAGUUGGGGUCUUACAACCUCCUCCCCUUAUAAAAUUUCAUCCUCGAAAUUAACGUACGUACCUGGUGUUUCGAACAGGUGAAGGUACCUCGCUUUCAUUUCCGAUUCCAACUCCCAGGUCAUUUCUUCAAUAACAUGGUUCCUCCACAAAACCUUAACUUGUGGUAUAACCUUGGUGCGUAGAACAUGCUCUUUCCUAUCCAAGAUCUUAACAGGUACCUCAUCGUACGUUAAAUCUUCGGCUAUUUCGUCUGGUUCUAAUGCAAUAACGUUGUUCGGGUCUUUCACAUAUUUACGAAGCAUAGAUAUGUGAAAAAUAUUAUGAACACGAGACAUGUUUGGAGGUAAUGCGAGUCUAUAGGCCACAUUUCCUAUUCGGUCAAGAAUCUCAAAUGGACCAACAAAUCGUGGAUUGAGCUUUCCUCUUUUCCCAAAUCUUGUAACUCCCUUCCAUGGAGCAAUACGUAACAGUACAUGAUCUCCAAUAUUAAAUUCCAUAUCCUUUCGAUGAAGAUCAGCAUAACUCUUUUGUCGAUCCUGUGAGGUUUGAAUACGUUGUCGAAUCAUUUGGAUCUUUUCUGUAGUCAUGCGUACUAAUUCUGGUCCCAACAACGUUGCUUCUCCCACCUCGUCCCAGCAUACUGGAGAACGACACUUUCGUCCAUACAACGCCUCGAAUGGAGCCAUGCCUAUACUUGCUUGAUAACUGUUAUUGUAGGAGAAUUCUACCAGUGGCAAAUACUUAUCCCAACUUCCUUUGAAAUCUAGGACACAGAGUCUUAAUAGAUCUUCAAGGGUUUGAAUAGUCCUUUCCGAUUGUCCGUCCGUUUGAGGAUGAUAUGCCGAACUGAAUCGUAAAUUCGUGCCUAUAGCUUUCUGCAAGCUAACCCAAAAUCUUGAAGUGAAUCUUGGGUCACGAUCCGAAACUAUGGAUACUGGCAUGUUAUGAAAUCUCACAGUCUCAUUCACGUACAUACGAACAAAACGUUCAAGGGAAUAAUUUUCUGGUAUAGGUAAGAAAUGAGCAGACUUGGUUAAUCUAUCAACAAUAACCCAAAUCACAUCUAUGCCUUAAGAAACUUUGGGAAGACCUAUAACGAAAUCCAUAGUAAUGUGUUCCCACUUCCAUUCUGGAAUCUCAAGUGGUUGUAAUGGACCUUUUGGCACUUGAUGCUCCGCCUUUACUCGUUGACAAGUUAAACACCUCGAGAUAAACUCUACGAUCUCUCUCUUCAUAUUGUUCCACCAAAAUGUGUGUCGAAUAUCAUGAUACAUUUUGGUACUUCCAAGAUGGAUUGCAAACGGUUUGUUGUGUGCCUCCAUCAUGAUUCUAUGCUUCAAGUCAGUGUCGUUAGGAACACAAAGUCUGGAGUUGAAUCUAAGUAUUCCUUCUUCAUCGAUUCUUACUUCCAGAAUAGCACCUUCUUUCACUUUCUUCUUCAUACGCAUCAUCCCCAGGUCCGUAGAUUGAGCAACUUUAACUUUAUCGAUUAAAGUUGGUUCUACUCGUAUAUUUGCCAUCAUCACGUGGGUCCCUGGAGUCUUUAACUCAAUCCCUAUCAUUUGUAAAUCGUAUAAAAUGGGUCUUUGUGUUAACAACAUAGCACUCGUACUCACAUACGAUCUUCUACUCAAUGCGUCAACUACUACGUUUGCUUUUCCAGGAUGGUAUUGAAUGGUAUAAUCGUAAUCUUUCAACAGCUCGAGCCAACGUCAUUGCCGCAUGUUGAGUUCCUUUUGGGUGAAGAAGUAUUUGAGGCUUUUAUGAUCCGUAUAGAUCUCCACUUUCUCCCCAUACAGGUAGUGUCUCCAGAUUUUCAACGCAAAAACGACUGCUGCCAACUCUAGAUCAUGAGUAGGAUAAUUCCUCUCAUAUUCUUUGAGUUGUCGUGAGGCAUAGGCUAUGACUUUCCUAUAUUUCAUGAGAACACAUCCUAACCCUUUGCCCGAAGCAUCGCUGUAGAUAACAAAUCCAUCCGAACCAGAUGGUAUUGCGAGAAUAGGUGCCGAAAUGAGUCUCCUCUUGAGCUCUUGGAAACUCUUCUCGCAUUCCUCGCUCUAUACGAAUUUUGUAUCUUUCUGAGUUAACUGAGUUAACAGAGUAGCGAUUCGAGAAAAUCCUUCCAUGAAUCUCCGAUAAUAACCAGCUAAGCCCAGAAAGCUACGCCCUUCGGCCAUCGACUUCGGUUGCUCCCAACUUUGUAUUGCUUCAAUCUUCGUCGGGUCGAUAGAUACUCCAUGUUUUGACACCACGUGCCCAAGGAAUUCUACUUCCUCAAGCCAGAACUCGCAUUUCUUCAGCUUGGCAUAUAACUUGUUUUCACGAAGCCUUUCAAGUAUCAGCUUCAAAUGGUGCUCAUGAUCUUCACGGCUUUUGGAAUAGAUGAGGAUGUCAUCAAUAAAGACAACAACGAACUGAUCCAAAUAUUCCUUGAAUACNNNNNNNNNNNNNNNNNNNNNNNNNNNNNNNNNNNNNNNNNNNNNNNNNNNNNNNNNNNNNNNNNNNNNNNNNNNNNNNNNNNNNNNNNNNNNNNNNNNNNNNNNNNNNNNNNNNNNNNNNNNNNNNNNNNNNNNNNNNNNNNNNNNNNNNNNNNNNNNNNNNNNNNNNNNNNNNNNNNNNNNNNNNNNNNNNNNNNNNNNNNNNNNNNNNNNNNNNNNNNNNNNNNNNNNNNNNNNNNNNNNNNNNNNNNNNNNNNNNNNNNNNNNNNNNNNNNNNNNNNNNNNNNNNNNNNNNNNNNNNNNNNNNNNNNNNNNNNNNNNNNNNNNNNNNNNNNNNNNNNNNNNUCAUAACAGGUUGGUUAGGAAUAUUAAAACUAACAACCUUACGAAAACAAUCAAUUUUGGCAUGAUGAGUGGUUAACCAAUCAAUUCCUAAAAUCACAUCAAAAGCAAGUAUCUUUAAAGAGAUAAGAUCAACAGGUAAUGUGAUAGUGCCAACUUGGAUCAAGAAAGAUUUAUAAACUGUAGAUGUAACGAAGGUUUCACCCAACGGAGUUUCAACAGAUAAGUUAAAGUCCAAUUUCUCCGGAGUCAAGUUUAAACGUUGAGCACAAGCAGGAGAGAUAAAAGAAUGUGUAGAACCGGUAUCUAGUAAGGUAUAAACUUCGCAAGAGUUUAUGAUAAGCUUACCCGUGAUCACCUCAUUUAGGUUCCUUAUGUUUUGGCCAGUCACGACAAACGCUCUUCCAAGAAUCGCUGAUUUUGACUUAUCCGGGAUAGCCUUUGGAGUCAGCAUCCCCGCUGAACUUGGUUUUGCUACAGAACACUCUUGAGCUAUAUGGCCCUCCUUUUCAUAGUUAUAACAUACCUUGGAUUGUUGUGGGCAGUUUGGGCUGAUAUGUCCCUCUUUCCCGCAUUUAUAACACACGACCGGUGGUCGUUCUCCUCCCCUAGCAACAGCUGAUACUGGUAUUGCUGCUGAUAUCUUCCCGUCAUUGUUGAAUCUCCUUUUUUUGAAAUUUCCACUUGACUCACCUCUUCUAUUAUCAUGGUCAUGAUUACCAUCCGAGUGGUUACCGCUUUUGUCCGUAUUUUUCCUUCCUCGCUGGUUAUCAUCGCUCCGAUGACUGCUGUCACCGGUAUGACCCUGGUUGUGGUCCCUCGGUUGAGUAUACUCAUUAUCUCGCUCUAAUAAUUAAGCCCUGUUGACAACAUCUGAAUACAGAGAAAUUUAUGAGAGAUAAGAUAUUGACGAAUCUCGGGUUUUAGACCUCUUAGAAACAUUCGCAUCAUACGUUCCUCAUUCUCUACCAAAUGAGGUGCAAACCUGGAUAACUCCGCGAACUUCUCCUCGUACUGAGACACCGUCAUGUUGUUCUGUUCUAGUCUAAUAAACUCUACCUCCUAUUCAAGUUAUCCCAGGGCCGUAGCGGUUAGGACUUUGCUUCUGAAAAGAUUAGGGGAGAACACCCGGUCCCGCAAGCACCAACAACUGUCAAUCUAAUAAGAAGUAGGUGCUAGGCUCAUGUCAUUAGGGGAAGCCUCAAAUUGACCUGUCAAUUCAAGCACGCACAUUGUCGUGUUCAGGCCUGACUCCGUUGAGGAUGAUGCGUACCCUCUUGGCCUAUGAAUACUUGCUUUCUCCGUCCAGCUGCUCACACUGAAAGCACAUCUCCUUUACUCCCCCUUCUAUUCAAUUCUCCCUCAUACGAAUUCGAAUAAAAGAAUAUAAGGUCAGGGAUUGUGGCUAGUUGCUUCACCCCGGCGGCAUAUUCCCCCUGGUCCGUAAGUACCACGCUCCUGUCCCGUACCCACUGAACCUCCGGGUCCCUUUUGAGUGCGUAAUAUACGAACUUUUCAGGAAAGUACUUGUCAUUGAACAGUUUCUGAAAUCUUUCCCAAGACAUAUUGAGUGCGGCUGGCUGGGUACGCUUCACGGAUUCCCACCAGUAAUCUGUCUCUCCACGAAACAUAAAGGUGGCGAAUGGAACCUUCUGUUCCUCCGUGCAUCCCAAGACAUCGAAUAUCUUGGUAAUUUGCUUAACCCAUGUUUCCGCCUUAAUAGGAUCGGGCUUUCCCCAGAAAUCUGGUGGUCCCAACUCCUUGAACUGCUUGACUGUGACAGACCGUGCGUUGCUAUCACUUCCACCCGUAUUUUGUACACAAGUCUCCCUCGUCUGAUUUUGCAUGAACUACAAAAAGCUCCUAAACAUCCAUCAUUCAUCGUUUGCUCGGUAGCGUUGUUUACAGGAGUAAUAUUGCCUUCAUGUUGCACGUUCUCCUGGUUUGUGACUAAAGGUUGUUCCACAGUCUCAUACACUCCAUUGUUAAUAUUCUCAGCAGCCAUUCUUAAAUACUGCCAUAAACAAGGGUUAAUUAAACAAAUUAACAUAUCACAUAAUAUCCCUAUAUUAUGACCAACCAACAAAUAAGCUUAGAUAGGACACACUAGCGAUUGAUUUACUCAUCUUUUCCCUCCUAGUUCUAUUCUCCGAUCUCCUCCAAAAACCAUAUUCCUAAGCUUUGAUACCAACUGUGACGCCCCCAAAAUAGGUAUACAACACCCAUUCUGAGUUGCCAAUUAUAUGGUACAGAAAGCAAAAUACAACUUCAAUAAUACAAUUGUCGUGCAAAAUACGACAACACAUACUGUGAGUUUAAAUACUCUUUUAGUCCCCUUUGCUUUCUGUCUGAUUCAUCUGGUCACCUUUAAGGAUGGCAGGAUUGGACCGACGAGAUCUUUGGAAACACUGAUUAUGUGGAUAUACUCAAGAGUGCGGGCAUCUUUUGUUGUGUUCAACUAGUAGAGACCUAUGUGUCCAAUAGAACCAUAACGCCCUUAUUGUAUUGAUCUCACGAUGAUGCUCCUCUACUUGCACAUUCAUCACUGCCUGGGGAGAAUGCACCUUUACGCUGGAGGAUGUCUAUACCAUCAACCAGUAAGCAUUUUUCCCCUUGCGCGUGAGUCACGCCUUUGGUGAGAUGAUCGCACAAAAUAUUUUAACUAUUGAAGUCUUGAUUCUAGUUUUUAAACACUUUGCGAGGCUUGAUAUUUUGCAAGCCUCAAAAACAAAAGUCUUAGGAGAGGGAACCUCUAGGGGAGUAAACCCUAGAAGGGCGUGCCUUAGAGGAGCUCUACCAUGGAAUAUUUUGAAAAUCUUUGAUCUAAUCCCAUUGGGCUCUUUUGCGAGCAUCGCAAAUAGGGAAGCGGGUAUCGAGUCUUCUUCACCACAUGAUGAUUGUGUCAGUCUUGAUGCUAGGGAUUCUUUGUCUGAUGUAAGCUCGGAUAACCUGUUGUGGGUGAUGCAGCGCUCUCUUUACGCCUUUUUACAACUUCUCCACAUGACAGUUUUGAGACUCUUGCUUCUUUGAGGCGGAAUCCUUCUAAGACUAUUGCUGAUGUUCAUCCUCCCAAGGAGGAUUCCGCCGAGUUGAUGAUUGCUCGGGAGGGUAUUGUGGAUAGUACUUUGGGUGGGUUGAAUGACCUUUCGUCUCCCGUGGCCUUUCCUAACUCUCCUUAGACAUGUCUCCCUUCUAUGUUAGGUUGGAUCUCUAUAUUUCUAAUCAUGUUGUUGCACUUUAUUCGGAAGUCACUUCACGUCAUCAUGAGAAUAACUUACUUUAUGUAGAGUUUUAGGAGCUUCAAGAUGUCAUGGAUAAAUUGAAGACCAAGAUUUUGGGAAAUUAAUUUAGCUGCCCAAGAUCUUGAAGGCCUGAUAGCCUCAAAUACGAAGGCUCGAUGCUCCACUAUUGUUGACUUGGAGGCUUUAGCUAUUCCCCUUUCCUCAGUACGACAUGUCAUGGCCUUUAAAUCAUGAACUUUUAUAGUUUUUUUCUAUUUCCUGUAUCAGAAAAUCAGAAAAUUCAUGUGCAUAUAUUUCAUUAAUCAAAUUGUAGUUUCUUUUAUCCUUAUUGAUUACCUUUAAUUUGAAAUAUUCCUUAAAACUCAAUAUUUAAUAUUGGAUCUUAAGUUGUCCAAAUUAAUACUCCAAGACAACAAUAGGUAUUAUAAAUAAGUAAACAUGAAUUUUGUUAAAAAAAACGUGUAUAUAUAUUUUCUACAAACCAACACUUGAAUUUAUACUUUUUUUUAAGAAAUCAGGAAAACGUUCAAGUAUAAGUGAAAGUUUGUCAAUUCAUUGAUAAUUAGAUUGCUUUUAAUGAAAAGCAUAACGUUUCAUAUAAUAAAUCUUGCUUUUAUUGAAGAAAGCGUAACGUUCGCCACUUUUAGAGAUAAAGUAUAACUUUUGGGGUUGAGGGCUUAUACUUAGGUGCCUCAAUCACUUUUGAAGUUGAAAGUGUAAUUUCCGAGGGCUGUUAGUCAGGUGCCUUGAUUACUUUUGAAGUUGAAAGUAUAACUUUUCGGGUCUGAGGACUUAUAGUCAGGUGCCUCAUUCACUUUUGAUGAUAAAGUAUAACACUCGGAUGCCUCGUCACUUGGGUCGUCCAAUUUCUUGGCAAAUGCGGUCUAAGAGGACUUGAAAUCGGGUGCCUCGUUAUUUGGGUCAUCCAAUUUAUUGGCAAGUGCAGUCUACGAGGACUUGAAAUCGGGUGCCUCAUCACUUGGGUCGUCCAAUUUCUUGGCAAGUGCAGUCUACGAGGACUUGACCACCAUUUAGAGUGGACCACCAUCUUGGGUGGAUUUUUUUUUUAAAUUUUAUUUUGUCAAUUCUUGUGCCUCCUCCCUUGGUCAUCCAAUUACUUGGCAAGGGAUACUCCUGAGGAUUUGAACAACCAUUUUUGGUGGACCACCAUCUUGGGUGGAUUUUUAAUUCUUCAAUUCUUGUAUCUGUAGUUCAGAGUUCUUUCGAUGGUAGAGCCAGUAUUUGAGUUCUUGAUUUUUGGAACUGCACCCUGGUGAUAGUGUUGCAUGUUUCUUUUCCUAGUUCAAUCUCCCCGACUGCCAGCUUCUCAUGGUAUAUCCUCCGCAAACUGUAACAGUUCAUAGUGGAAUGUCCUGUGUAUUGGUGGUAUACACAGAAGUCCGUUCUUCUUUUCAUCUCUUCUAUUAUAACCAACCCAAGCCUUAGAGGCUUCACCACUUCAUGCUCAACCCAUUGUUCAUACAGGCUCCUGAAUGCCUCCUCGCUGCAUGUGAUAGCCUCCAGAACUGGCAUUCUGGUGUACUUGUCCCCCUGCUUUUCUCUGCUUCACUGAAAUUUCUCAUUCUUCUCCCUCUUACCCCCCUGUGGUUUUGAUUGAGAAUCCGCUAAAGCCACAGUUGUUGUCCUCUUGCCCUUCUAUGUAACCAUCGCAUGGUUGGUGGGCAAUGUCAUGAUUCCUCCCAAGUCUUGUGCAAAAGAUGAAAGGGUUGCAAAUGAAUCACAAGCUUUGGUAAUGAGGUGGGGCUUGAAGGUGUCUAAAGCACCAUUGUUGCAUAUGCUAACCAAGUUCUUUUCUUCAAUUGCCCCUGCACACUUCUGUGUUUGGGCCCUGAACCUAUCCACGUAAUCUGACAGUUCUUCGUUUGGCUUCUACUUGAAUCGCAUGAGCUCUACGGUGGUUACCUGUUUCUGAACAUAGAAAAAUUUCUUAAAAAAUUAUAAUUUUAGAUCAUUCCAAUCAUGGACUGAUCCCUUCUCCAAGUUGUAGUACCAACUGAAGGCAUUAUCUGUCAAAGUCUUGUUGAAUUCCCUCAUCAACAAAUUGUGAGUGUUCAUUUCAUUAUAUCCUAACCAUGGAGACAUCGACUCCACGAACCUGGCAAUGUGUUCCUUGUCAUUUCCUUUCCCCCCAUUGUAUUUUGGAAAUUGCGGGGGAUGCUCUAUAUACCCUGCCGGGUAAGGUUGUCUCCGAAUAUGUGCCGGGUAAGGUUGAGUAAAGUCUAACUCCGAAGGUCGGGAUGUCUGCCUAUGAAGUUGAUUGAUCACAUUGAUCAUAUCAUCCUUUGUCACAUAUUGGCUCGUGGUAUGGACUCGGUGUGGUAUUGUGAUGUAUGGCGGUAUUGGCCGUGUGUAUGGUACAGAAAUUGGUUGAUGUACACUGGUAUCAUGAAAAUUCGGUAUCAGUUGUGCUUGUGGAUUGGUUCGUUGGACGAGGCUUGGGAUGGUUGGUAUCUGUACUUGUGAAAAUGCGGGGAUAGUAGUCGGAAUGACGUUUGUCUGAGGCUGGCUGACUUUCAGUCUGGGUUGUGGGACGUCACCAUUGUUCUGAGGUUCAAAAUGGAUGAUUGGUAUAGACUGAUUCUCCGUCAAUGGAGGUGCAGUCUGAUUCUCCUUAUUGUUGCUAUCGUUGUUGUUGUCCUCCACUUCUGCUUGUUUUUCCUGUGAAUUGUGUGGGAAUAUGACCUUGAAAGCGGGGAUCUGCAUCAACUGCUGGCAGAAAUUUCCCAUUUCCUCUUGUUGUCUCUGUAUCUCCAACAUCAUAGCCAUCAUCAUCCCUUGUCCUUCCCGUGCUUCCUUCACCGCCUUGAGCAUCUCCAGUUGCACAACAUUUGUCUGCUUUUCACUUUCUUCCUCGCCUUGCCUUCCCACGUCUGUCUGCCUAACAAUCGUUGGUUGUUGAUCACCCAUGUAUGGCAAUGUUGAACUUCAUCCUGAGGUGUCUUCCAGGAUGGGUGGAUCGAGAUCUAGAUUCACACCUUGGAAAGCUUGAUUUGUUUGCCUUGGAAUUGGAUUCGGUGAGGUAAUGCUAUUUGUUGGUGAAGCUCUUCCUGUAAUUCUCCCAUUUCAAGUUGUGGACAUACCCUUCACGGAUUCUACACCUCCCCAGUAGAGUCGCCAAAAAAAUGUGGGCAAGGAAAUCGUACCUUGCUAGGAUUAGGGUUUCGUGUUGGCUGAGGAUGAGAGAAAUCCACGAAGAGCACGAAAUUGAUUGAUUGAUUGAAGAGGGGAAAACGACAGGUGGGUGAUUACUCCAAUGACGCGUGGCAGAACUCCUAGAAUUCGAAAACCGUGUUAGGGUUAUUGAGAUUCCAAGAGCCUUCUUCUUGAGUCAUUCCACUCCUAGAAUCCGGAAACCUUGUUAGGGUUAUUGGGAUUCCAAGAGUUUUCUUGAGUGUUGAGAAAGAAUGCCCCGGUCUUUCGAUCUUCCAAGAGUCCAAGUCGUGUGUCUGAAGAUAGGUCCCCUUCCCAAUGGAAUAGAAGGGGUAUUUAAAGGGUUUUCUGGAAAGUAGUCAUGUGUCAGGCACAUACUUUCAGAGAAAUUCCAUAAAUACCCUUUAAUCAUCAAAGUAAUAUCCAGAUUGUCCUGUCCUUUUAGCCACCAAUUCAAUCCCUCAAUCUAUUCCCAAAACGAGCUGCCUCCACGAGCCUUCUGCCUCGGGACCCGUGGAGGCUUCUCUCGGGUCUCGCCUAUUUAUUUUCGGCUUUUCCGUCUUCAUUCUAUUAGGUUAUGCGAAUCCUAAUUUGCACAUUUAAUGAGUCCGUGGAAUCCUAAUUGUAUAUUUAAUUCAAUUAGGUCAUGUGAACCCUAAUUUUACAUUUGGGCCCAUAAUUUAUAUUUUUUACAUUAUUUAAAUUAUUUUAUUGCAAUUAAUUUAUUUUAUUUUAUUUUAUAUUAAUUGCCUUAUGCUAUCUUAUGUUAUCUAAUUUAUUAUAGUUUAUAUUAUAUUAUAUUAUAUUUUGUGAAUUUAGUUUAUAUUAUUAUAUUAUUUUAUUUUAUUUAGUAAUAUCAAAAUUAAGUAAAUGCUACUUAAUUUAUUUUAAUAUUGAGAAACUAAUUAAAUAAUACAUAAAUACAUAUAGGACCAAUAAAUUUUUAAAUUGAAUAUUUCUGACAGAAAUUUUGUCUAAAAUUCUAUCAGAAAUAACAAAUAUAUCAAAUAACAUAAAUGAUCAUCACUCAGUAUCAGAAUCAAUUAACAUAAGGCAUCAAAAUUAUAAACAACAUACAAAUUAAUCUAAAAAUUUAUACUAUACACAAAAAAGGAACAAAAAAUUUCGCAAGUAUUGAUUCAAUGUACAUUGACAGAAAGUUCCAAAUAAUAUGAAGUCCUAAAUUAAAUGAUUUAACGCAAAUACACAAAUAUUAAACUCAAUUUUCGCACAACAUUUCCAAUUAAUUUUUUGUACUUGGGCAAUAUACGUUCAAAAAAUAAUUUACCAACAGCAAUAACUUAAAACUUAAUCAUCCUAAUUUUAGCAACAAUACCAAAAACUAAAUAUUAAAAUUUCAUAGGUUCAGCAACAAUAUUCACAAAGUAAUUCCAUAUUAAAUUAAAAAAAAAAUUAUAGAGUGGAAAAAAAAUUAACCAUACUGAAAUUAAUUAACCACUAACCUUUCUAGGUAACAAAGUAUCUUAAGGAGGAGGAGGAGAAUGUGGAGGAGAACCCCGCCGGAAGUGGGGAGACAACAUUGUCGGAUGUCUCAAUUAGUCGUCACUGGAGGUGAGGAGAGUGCUGAGGUGCUGCGGCAUCGGAGGGUGGGAAGCACACAGCCGUCGUCGUUGAUGAGAGCGUAGACAGAUGAGAGACUGCUGAAAGACUGAUAAGAGAGAGAGUUUUGAGAGAUAACAG
Molecule: long non-coding RNA, 18513 nt
Filed under: Panax ginseng (ginseng)
Lineage: Eukaryota; Viridiplantae; Streptophyta; Magnoliopsida; Apiales; Araliaceae
Description: long non-coding RNA (PGIN_LNC014702)
Source: RNAcentral